This 72-nucleotide transfer RNA is filed under the name Camelus bactrianus (Bactrian camel). It matches the Rfam family "tRNA". Rfam says of the family: Transfer RNA (tRNA) molecules are approximately 80 nucleotides in length. Lineage: Eukaryota; Metazoa; Chordata; Mammalia; Artiodactyla; Camelidae. The record is from Rfam by way of RNAcentral. RNAcentral also lists the same sequence under 2 other names.
GGGGGUAUAGCUCAGUGGUACAGCAUAUGCUUGGCAUGCACAAGGUCCUGGGUUCAAUCCCCAGUACCUCCA